AGUGAUGCAGUGAAUUUGCAGAUAAUUCCAGUUCUUCAUAAAUAAUCUCUAGGAAAUUUGCAGUUUAUUCAUUCCAAUCUGGUCAGAUCUACUCAGUCACUGACAAAGGAUUGGAGCUAGUAAACUGUAUAAUUAUCUAAUUAUCCAAGUUCUGAUUGUUCUACUGUCAAAUUCCAUCCAUUCUCUAAGCCAUUUCUGUAAUGAGGGAUAAAACCUAGGUUCCGACUUCCCUCCAUUUUCCCAAAAGCAAAACCGAAUGAAAAAUACUCACGACGGAAGUCAGUCGCAUCUCAAAAUCAUCUCUAUGAAUGAUCCUAUGACUAUGUAAGAAAUCAACUCCGAGCAGGAUCUCCUUGGACAUUUGUUUAGCCAAAGAAGGUGGCAUGCCAGUUGGUGGACAAGCAGAGAUGAACUUGGCGAGGUCCCUGUCCACGUGCUCGAAGACAAGCCACAACGUAAGUCCUUUAUCAGGUCUGUCUGUACGUCUAUUUCUGUCACUCCUGUCAGGAGGCUGGAGGUAAUUUCCCUGGCAGACAUCGAGGAGUCUCACGAUAUUGGGAUGUUCGAACCUCUCGAGCUGCUUCAAUCCUGCGAUUUCUCUCAAUGUGGAUGUGGGAAGUCCAUCCUCAGUUAGAGAUACGCGUACCUUCUUCAGAGCAACCACCUGACCGCUCGAUACGUCCCUGGCCUUGUAGACAGUUCCAUAAGCACCAUCGCCGAUUUGCGAUAAUUCUUGAUAGUGUGCAUGUUCACCGAUGAAUGAAGACUCCAGGGAACCUUCGGCCUUUCUCUCUGUGCUGGAUUGCACGAGGCCGAGGGUUCCCGAAGUGCUCGGGACAGCUUCUUCAACUUCCAGCCUUCUGUCGUUUCCAGGAGUGGUGUCGAGAGUCUCUUCCGCUAGGAGAUCUAGUUCCUCUCCCGGAGGCUCUCGCUCUUCUCGUAGCUUUGAUCUCUUCUCCAGUGGGGGGGUUCCGGGGGGAGUCUCCGAGCUUGGAAGCCGGCGUCUCUCGGCCAUCACAACAUUUUUUUCAGUGGAUCUACCUGGAAUAAGCAUUUCGUAUGUAGACUGAUGGAAAAAAAUAUUUUCAUCGAAAUGUCGCUUUCUUCAAACAAGAAAUACUAUCAAAUACUUAUUACCUAUCUUAAAUGAAUACAAUUCGAAUUCAGGGAAUUCAUUUUCGAAGGACAAUGAGUUAGUUUUCUGGAGUUUAAUUUUUCCGGAAAUAAUUAUGGGACAGUUUUGUAUUUUCUUUGGCUAUGAAUCCGAGAAUUUGCUGUACGUUUCAAAUUUUUUCUUUUACAUUUCUAGGAAAUUUUCGGGAAACGCUUUCCCAUUGUGGAUUAUACGAAUGGGUAAUGUAUCCGUAAUUUUGCAGAAUAUUUUCCAGCCUAUUUAUUCAUCGGGCUAUCUCCUAGCUCAGAAUAUUCUCAAAAGAAAAUCGCAUCAGAUUUUGAAACCCUUUUCUCCCUUUAGAGUUCGAUCGUUCUUCGAAUAUUUUUUCGCCUGAUUUCCUCUGACUUUUUUCAUAAAGUUUGAGGAAUUCAGAGGGCAACGGGAAUGACGGUAACAUCUGCUGUAUUAACACCUGCCGUUGUAUUCAACCAUACUCUUUACGCUGGCGUCACCUUUGUUUCCCCGGUACGAAAUAUAUUCAAUGCUGGUCAAAUAAAAGUGGAUGGGUCUACUGUCAAAUAAAUAGGUUUGGAAUGCUAAGAUGUGGGAGGAACAAAAAAUAAUCGUGAUAACACCCGUUACUCAAUAGGAAGUGCACCCGUGGCCUGAAUCACACUUCCCUCUCCAUGAAUGAAAUAAAAUGAAAAUAACAGAACCUCGAGUUUUAUCAACUUCCGGCUUUGAUAAUCCGGGCUUCUUACUCUCCAAUUUAUUGGUGGGGGAGAGUCUCGGGGGAGUGCUACUUCUGAGAAAUUUUCAGGUCAAAAAUUUUUCCGUUGGGAAAAGGUUUCAACACUGGUGAAGAAGCAAUUGACGAUGUGAAGAAAAAAAAACAUUCUCUUCAACAAUUUUUUCUUGGAAAAUUGUCACGUUGUUCUAUGGAAUUAGAAUUAUUUUAUGAAGUGAAGAAUUUUUCCUUAUGAGCUAUAGAGAUGAGCAUUAUUCAUUGAAUGAGAAUUCUAGAAGAACAUAAACAUUUUAUGGUAAUCAAUAUUUUUGGAUGUAGACCUAGCUCAUUUCGAACUAUAAUCCGUGGAUAUUUACACAUAUGUUUGUAAAACUUGGAAUUUUGAGAUUCUACACCAAUCGACAUAAUUUCCAAAGAAAUUUCAAAACGUACAAAGUGAACGAUGCCGAUGCUCCCAUACAGAAGGAAAAAAUUGAAAACCAAAAAUAGUCCUGAAGGGAUUUUCAACCCCCUCUAUUGCCCUAUCUCCCCAGAAUUUGCCCUCCUACAAAACUAUCUGAGACACCGUGGGAAGUAGAACCCGUUGAGCUUUAAUGUCUCCGCAUUCCUUCUUCUGUUUACUCCAUUCCGCUUAUCAUCAUUGAUAGUAAAGGGCAGCGUAGCUCGAGUAACAACAAAUAAACGAGCCAGUCAUCCAUUGACAACGGCUCCCGCAUUGGAUUGUUGACGUAAAUAACAUGACUAACGCCAUUUAUUAAGCCCUCACGUACGGGGCGCCCUUAUGAUGCCAAAACUGUCACAGGUAUUCCAUAUGUUCUAAUGGAUGAAAAAUAAUGAAAAAAUAUGUAAUUACAACUCUAUGAUUUAUCUUUCCAACAAUUUUUAACGAGACCAGACUCGAGACAAAAAAGUUAUCAGACCAUUUCCCCAUAGCCGUUACGUUCUGAGAUAAGUUCAUUAUUAAUUGAUACUUUGUAAUUAUGAAAUCUGUCAUGUCAAAUGGAUCCAUGACUGGACCUCUGGGAAGAUGACCUCAUUUUUUUUUCUACAAUUUUUUUUUCUUUUUCCAUGCGUAAGAAUAUUCCGAGUAAUUUUUUUGAUACUUUUGGUAACGAAUAUCCCGAAUAUGUCAGCUUUUUUUCGUCUUCGUAUCAGUAACUGUUGGAAUGGAAACAAGUAUUUUGAGAAAUGAAAUUGGGUUUGGUGAAACAAACAAUCGACUGAAUCGAGUUCCAAUUAUUGAAAAGAAUGACAUCUCCGAAAAAAUUCCAUAUUCAAAAAGAGCUGUGGAAAAAUUCGAAAAAAAAAAUUGAAGAA
Molecule: long non-coding RNA, 3179 nt
Organism: Diachasmimorpha longicaudata
Lineage: Eukaryota; Metazoa; Arthropoda; Insecta; Hymenoptera; Braconidae
Exons: 2
Source: RefSeq, a predicted model, not a curated record